Small nuclear RNA from Vulpes vulpes (red fox), 107 nucleotides. The record is from Ensembl. NCBI's taxonomy places the organism in Eukaryota, Metazoa, Chordata, Mammalia, Carnivora, Canidae.
GUGCUGGCUUGGGCAGCACAUAUACUAAAAUUGGAACAAUACGGAGAAAAUAAGCAUGGCCCCUGCCAAAGGAUGACACACAAAUUCAUGAAGCAUUCCAUAUUGAA